Molecule: small nuclear RNA, 156 nt
Organism: Mesocricetus auratus (golden hamster)
Lineage: Eukaryota; Metazoa; Chordata; Mammalia; Rodentia; Cricetidae
Gene: U1
Rfam family: U1 spliceosomal RNA
About the family: U1 is a small nuclear RNA (snRNA) component of the spliceosome (involved in pre-mRNA splicing). Its 5' end forms complementary base pairs with the 5' splice junction, thus defining the 5' donor site of an intron. There are significant differences in sequence and secondary structure between metazoan and yeast U1 snRNAs, the latter being much longer (568 nucleotides as compared to 164 nucleotides in human).
Source: Ensembl
AUACUUACCAUGAGAUACCAUGAUCAUGGAGGUGGUUUUCUCAAGGUGAGGCUUAGCCAUUGCACUCCGGAUGAACUGACCCCCGAGAUUUGUUCAAAUGCAGGAAACUUGACUGCAUAAUUUGUGGUAGUGGGAGACUGCAUUCACACUCUCCCU